Molecule: ribosomal RNA, 867 nt
Filed under: uncultured Bacillota bacterium
Lineage: Bacteria; Bacillati; Bacillota
Description: bacterial SSU rRNA
Rfam family: Bacterial small subunit ribosomal RNA
Source: RNAcentral
CAAGUCGAACGGGAAAGUGGAGCAAUCCAUGAGUACAGUGGCGUACGGGUGAGUAACACGUGGGUGAUCUACCUUUUAGUGGGGAAUAACCCUGGGAAACCGGGGCUAAUACCGCAUAAUCCCGAGAGGGGAAAGCAGCAAUGCGCUGAAAGAGGAGCCCGCGGCCGAUUAGCUAGUUGGUAGGGUAAGAGCCUACCAAGGCAGAGAUCGGUAGCCGGCCUGAGAGGGCACACGGCCACACUGGCACUGAAACACGGGCCAGACUCCUACGGGAGGCAGCAGUGGGGAAUCUUGCACAAUGGGGGCAACCCUGAUGCAGCGACGCCGCGUGAGCGAUGAAGCCCUUCGGGGUGUAAAGCUCUUUCGGCAGGGAAGAUAAUGACGGUACCUGCAGAAGCAGCUGCGGCUAACUACGUGCCAGCAGCCGCGGUAAUACGUAGGCAGCGAGCGUUGUUCGGAGUUACUGGGCGUAAAGGGUGUGUAGGCGGUUCUUUAAGUUUGGUGUGAAAUCUCCCGGCUCAACCGGGAGGGUGCGCCGAAUACUGAGGGACUAGAGUACGGGAGAGGAAAGUGGAAUUCCUGGUGUAGCGGUGAAAUGCGUAGAUAUCAGGAGGAACACCGGUGGUGUAGACGGCUUUCUGGACCGUAACUGACGCUGAGACACGAAAGCGUGGGUAGCAAACAGGAUUAGAUACCCUGGUAGUCCACGCCCUAAACGAUGCAUAUUUGGUGUGGGCAGUUCAUUCUGUCCGUGCCGGAGCUAACGCGUUAAAUAUGCCGCCUGGGGAGUACAGUCGCAAGGCUGAAACUCAAAGGAAUUGACGGGGGCCCGCACAAGCGGUGGAGCAUGUGGUUCAAUUCGACGCA